AAAUUGAAGAGUUUGAUCAUGGCUCAGAUUGAACGCUGGCGGCAGGCCUAACACAUGCAAGUCGAACGGUAACAGGAAGCAGCUUGCUGCUUCGCUGAUGAGUGGCGGACGGGUGAGUAAUGUCUGGGAAACUGCCUGAUGGAGGGGGAUAACUACUGGAAACGGUAGCUAAUACCGCAUAACGUCGCAAGACCAAAGAGGGGGACCUUCGGGCCUCUUGCCAUCGGAUGUGCCCAGAUGGGAUUAGCUAGUAGGUGGGGUAACGGCUCACCUAGGCGACGAUCCCUAGCUGGUCUGAGAGGAUGACCAG
Molecule: ribosomal RNA, 310 nt
Filed under: Escherichia coli
Lineage: Bacteria; Pseudomonadati; Pseudomonadota; Gammaproteobacteria; Enterobacterales; Enterobacteriaceae
Description: bacterial SSU rRNA
Rfam family: Bacterial small subunit ribosomal RNA
Source: RNAcentral